CGGACUGUAGGCUGCAACUCGCCUACACGAAGUCGGAAUCGCUAGUAAUCGCGGAUCAGCAUGCCGCGGUGAAUACGUUCCCGGGCCUUGUACACACCGCCGUCACACCAUGGGAGUUUGUAACGCCCAAAGUCGGUGGCCUAACCUUUAUGGAGGGAGCCGCUAAGGCGGGACUGGUAACUGGGGUGAAGUCGUAACAAGGUAUC
This 206-nucleotide ribosomal RNA is filed under the name uncultured bacterium. Its description in RNAcentral is "partial 16S ribosomal RNA". It matches the Rfam family "Bacterial small subunit ribosomal RNA", at positions 1294 to 1500 of the family's 1533-position model. The record is from RNAcentral.